GUCGGUAGCUCAGGUGGUUAGAGCGCACGCCUGAUAAGCGUGAGGUCGGAGGUUCAAGUCCUCCCAAGCC
This 70-nucleotide transfer RNA is filed under the name Dolichomastix tenuilepis. The stretch from base 5 to 65 matches the Rfam family "tRNA", at positions 7 to 64 of the family's 71-position model. Rfam says of the family: Transfer RNA (tRNA) molecules are approximately 80 nucleotides in length. Their secondary structure includes four short double-helical elements and three loops (D, anti-codon, and T loops). The record is from RNAcentral. Lineage: Eukaryota; Viridiplantae; Chlorophyta; Mamiellophyceae; Dolichomastigales; Dolichomastigaceae.